Molecule: ribosomal RNA, 300 nt
Filed under: uncultured Halosimplex sp.
Lineage: Archaea; Methanobacteriati; Methanobacteriota; Halobacteria; Halobacteriales; Haloarculaceae
Description: bacterial SSU rRNA
Rfam family: Bacterial small subunit ribosomal RNA
Source: RNAcentral
GCCACCUGCGGGCCGGGGGCCGGGGUGAGACGUCGGGGGUAGUGGGUGUCCGGAUUUAUUGGGGUUAAAUAGCGCGUAGGCGGCUUGUUGCGUCGACCGUGAAAACCCACAGCUCAACUGUGGGCUGUCGGUGGAUACGGGCGGGCUUGAGUUCGGUAGGGGAGACUGGAAUUCCUGGUGUAGCGGUGAAAUGCGCAGAUAUCAGGAGGAACACCGGUGGCGAAGGCGGGUCUCUGGGCCGAUACUGACGCUGAGGAGCGAAAGCGUGGGGAGCGAACAGGAUUAGAUACCCUUGUAGUC